AUGGCCUGUACAUCUAUAUGGUUGUCAUAUUCUCCUUUGUUUUUGCAGAACAGUGACAGUCUGAUACACAAGGCACUCAAAUUGCCAAAUGCUAAAUAUAGUUGUCUUCGCAGAGACCGGAUUGAAGAGAAGUAUCAAUACCAACUAACACCAGAAGAAACAAUUAAAUAAACUGGGAACGUGAAAGAUUUAAGCCAAAUGAUAGGCAUUGGUUCAGUAUUGAUAGCAACUGUGGCAUUCGGGGCGACCUUUGCUGUUCCUGGAGGUUUCAUAGCCGACGAUCAUACCAAUAGAGGCACACCAACACUUGCCGGGAGGUAUACGUUUGACGCAUUCAUGAUGGCGAAUGCAUUAGCUUUUAUUUGCUCCUUAAUAGUUACCGUUGGUCUCAUGUUUUCUGGAUCUUCCAUGCAUAACCUGGUGAGCCGCCGCAUGUACUUGAGCGCCUCUGGGUUCUUCAUGACAAGUUCUCUCAUAAGCUUAUCUGUUGCUUUUGCUCUGGGAGUGUAUAUGGUGCUAGCUCCGGUUGCUCAUGCCACUGCCAUUGUUAUCUGUGUGCUUAGUCCUCUCGUGGUGCUAUAUAGAAAUUUUGAAAUCUUACUGAAGUUUACUAUUCUUGCACGACCAAUUUUUAUGGACCUGCUUUUAUACCUUCCCCUGUUCUACCUUUGGCUUCAGAUCUCCCACCUUUCGUUUGAUGAACCAAAGGUGCUGGAAGGCUGGCACUGA
RNAcentral lists this ribosomal RNA (729 nucleotides) under Triticum aestivum (bread wheat). RNAcentral's name for it is "partial small subunit ribosomal RNA". The record is from RNAcentral. Lineage: Eukaryota; Viridiplantae; Streptophyta; Magnoliopsida; Poales; Poaceae.